Molecule: long non-coding RNA, 296 nt
Filed under: Panax ginseng (ginseng)
Lineage: Eukaryota; Viridiplantae; Streptophyta; Magnoliopsida; Apiales; Araliaceae
Description: long non-coding RNA (PGIN_LNC003175)
Source: RNAcentral
GAAUAUUCGUUUGGUCGUAGAAUAUUCGUACUGUCGGGGAAUAUUCGUACGACGGCGCAGCCAUGUGUGGGCCCCAUAACGGAAAGCGAUUGGAGAAAGAAAACAACAAAUAUAAGUUGUUUAAAAAUAACGGCGUAAUUGUUACCGUUUACACUAUUGGAAUACCCAGUGGUUAAAACACAGUAAUACGCGUUGUUACACAGUAGCACACGGUAUUGCACCAAUUAUUGACUCUUACGUAAGAAGGCACUACUCAAUAAUGGUUACAGUAAUUACUGUUCAGUAUUUUAUUUUAU